This 721-nucleotide ribosomal RNA is filed under the name bacterium 58-L049393-122-001-B08. RNAcentral's name for it is "bacterial SSU rRNA". It matches the Rfam family "Bacterial small subunit ribosomal RNA", at positions 61 to 777 of the family's 1533-position model. The record is from RNAcentral.
GUCGAGCGGAUGAGGAGAGCUUGCUCUCUGAUUCAGCGGCGGACGGGUGAGUAAUGCCUAGGAAUCUGCCUGGUAGUGGGGGACAACGUCUCGAAAGGGACGCUAAUACCGCAUACGUCCUACGGGAGAAAGCAGGGGACCUUCGGGCCUUGCGCUAUCAGAUGAGCCUAGGUCGGAUUAGCUAGUUGGUGAGGUAAUGGCUCACCAAGGCGACGAUCCGUAACUGGUCUGAGAGGAUGAUCAGUCACACUGGAACUGAGACACGGUCCAGACUCCUACGGGAGGCAGCAGUGGGGAAUAUUGGACAAUGGGCGAAAGCCUGAUCCAGCCAUGCCGCGUGUGUGAAGAAGGUCUUCGGAUUGUAAAGCACUUUAAGUUGGGAGGAAGGGCAUUAACCUAAUACGUUGAUGUUUUGACGUUACCGACAGAAUAAGCACCGGCUAACUCUGUGCCAGCAGCCGCGGUAAUACAGAGGGUGCAAGCGUUAAUCGGAAUUACUGGGCGUAAAGCGCGCGUAGGUGGUUUGUUAAGUUGAAUGUGAAAUCCCCGGGCUCAACCUGGGAACUGCAUCCAAAACUGACAAACUAGAGUAUGGCAGAGGGUGGUGGAAUUUCCUGUGUAGCGGUGAAAUGCGUAGAUAUAGGAAGGAACACCAGUGGCGAAGGCGACCACCUGGGCUCAUACUGACACUGAGGUGCGAAAGCGUGGGGAGCAAACAGGA